This 229-nucleotide ribosomal RNA is filed under the name uncultured bacterium. RNAcentral describes it as "partial 16S ribosomal RNA". It matches the Rfam family "Bacterial small subunit ribosomal RNA", at positions 568 to 796 of the family's 1533-position model. The record is from RNAcentral.
UCCGUAGGCGGGCUAAUAAGUCAGGGGUGAAAUCCCACAGCUUAACUGUGGAACUGCCUUUGAUACUGUUAGUCUUGAGUUAUAUGGAAGUAGAUAGAAUGUGUAGUGUAGCGGUAAAAUGCAUAGAUAUUACACAGAAUACCGAUUGCGAAGGCAGUCUACUACGUAUAUACUGACGCUAAUGGACGAAAGCGUGGGGAGCGAACAGGAUUAGAUACCCUGGUAGUCC